Molecule: long non-coding RNA, 391 nt
Filed under: Homo sapiens (human)
Lineage: Eukaryota; Metazoa; Chordata; Mammalia; Primates; Hominidae
Description: HSALNT0091772
Source: RNAcentral
GUGGAGCUUGCAGUGAGCUGAGAUUGCAGCCUGGGAGACAGAGCGAGACUCCAUCUCAAAAAGAAAAAAAAAAGAACUGCUAGAGCGUAAAAGAGUGAGGCAGAGGAAGAUUUGAUACACACAGAAGAGGAGAGAGCAAUGUGAAGAUGGUGGCAGAGAUGGGACUGAUGAAGCCACCAGAAGCUGGAAGACAUAAGGAUCCGAUUCUCCCCUGGAGCAUCUGGAAGAAGCAAGGUCCUGUCAACAUUGUGCUUUUAGUCAUUGAAAUGAAUAUUGAACAGAAUCCUGUCCCCUAGCACUAGUAGAGAAUAAAGUUAUGUUGUUUUAAGCCACCAAUUUAUGAUGAUUUCUUAUGGCAGCCACGGGAUACUAAUUUACCUUCUCAGAUGAU